RNAcentral lists this non-coding RNA (182 nucleotides) under Akkermansiaceae bacterium. RNAcentral's name for it is "6S / SsrS RNA". It matches the Rfam family "6S / SsrS RNA". Rfam says of the family: E. coli 6S RNA was the first non coding RNA to be sequenced, but its function was unknown until recently. It consists of 184 nucleotides that fold into an extended hairpin structure with a large single-stranded internal bulge. The 6S RNA specifically associates with RNA polymerase holoenzyme containing the sigma70 specificity factor. Lineage: Bacteria; Pseudomonadati; Verrucomicrobiota; Verrucomicrobiia; Verrucomicrobiales; Akkermansiaceae. The record is from Rfam by way of RNAcentral.
GGCUUACUGCUGUGUUCGACUAGUUUGGUAGCUGGCCCGGACCGAUGUGAAUAUAAAGGGGUCAUAUCCCGAUCGGCCAUUGUCAUGCCUUCUCAGGAAGACAGGCGACCUUUCGGACGACCCCACCUUUUGAGCUUUCGGAACGUGGCUCACAGCGCCAAGGACGGCACAGCGGUUUACCU